AAGAGAGAGAGAGAGAGAGAGAAACUUGAAGUGGGUCUCAUCUGAAUCAUUGAAUGGGGGAUUGAGAAUUUGGCUGCCAAAGAAAAGCAAAAAAGAAAUAUAUUUAAGCACAAGAAACCAAGUACUGUUUUUUUAUUUUGUAUAGAGAAGAGAGCUUGGAAUUCUAAAGUGAGGAGAUCUUAGAAUGGCAUAAAGCAAGGUUUUGUUUCUUUUGGGGGUUGUUCUAUUCCAGAGUCUUUGCUCUCAUAUUUGAUUAUAUAUGGCUUGUGCCACUGUAGCAAUCUAUUAGUCCUACUACUAAGUGGCCCAUGGCUUGUGUCUGCCCAGUCACUACACUAAAAGAACAAAAACCCUCUUUUCUUAGUACCAAAGGAAUGAUAAUUUCCUAAAAUACCCCCACAUAAAGAUCUUCAUUAGAUGUGAAUUUAUAACUGCCAACAUCAAUCCUGUUAUUCCUAGAAAGCACAAAGUAGGACCCAAAAGUGAAAAUCCUUGGCAUCCACAUAAGCUGAGUAGAGCAAACAAGGCAGACCAUUGGCGAAGAAAGAACAUUAAUCCCCAAGGCAUAUCCACAAAAGCAUGGUCGGGUGAUGUGGUAUGCCAGUCCAAGGGACCGGUAAGCCUGUUUCCAGAGAAAAGCAGAUAGAAAAAAUUGAUAGUGUUGUAGGGGAACAAUACAAAUGCAAAAAGGAUACUUGGCUUCUCAAGGGUAUUGUUCCUACCGCUUUCAUCAUCCUUGUCAGAUUCUUCCAUAACAGCCUUAACAUGCUUAGAAUACAGGCUUAUAAUUUGGAUUCCUAAAAUUCCUUUGGGACCGAGUGUUUUAGGGCCUUCCCUGCUUUUUGCUUUAACCCCUCCUGGCCACCAGACAAAGUAAAUAUGCUCCAGGUACAGUGUCAUCCCAUCAACGUAUUCUUAGAGAUUUCACCUUGCAGGGUAUGAACACAGAGAAGAAAUCAGCGCGUUUAAACAAGACAUUUGAUCCAAAUCAAUCAAGCAAAAGAAGAGUGAGAAAAGGAUCAGAUCCUAUCCACAACAGGUCCUGAUAAAUUCAAGUUGUUUCUUCAACCAGAGACAAGAAAAGCAAGUAAGUUGACAUUUCAAGAAAGAAAUAGCAUCUAGCAGUGCAGAGAAAGUAGGUGGUUCAGAAUUGUAUUCCCAUGAUGAGGGUGGGCUGAAUGAUUUUGUUUUUCUAUUUAUUUUUUAAUGGUUUUUGUUAUAGAGAGAUGUGUUACAUGUGCAUAGUAAAGUCACCAGGGGACAGUCCUUAAAUGCAUUAAGUGAGCCAGUAUCAUCUCUGUGCUACAAGUUGAGAUCAUAAUCAACCACCAAAGAAGACUUGGCACAGAGAUGGUGUGGGCUCACAAAAAACAGAUACAGAAUUUUUUUUUUUUUUUCCCCUUGUUCUUUUUCUUCUCCUCUCCCUUUUAUCUUUCCUUCAAGAAGAAAUUUCCGUCUGUUUUCCUUAGUAAUAUGCCUCCUCUUGCAGACUAUAGUGAAACCAAGAUUAUUCCAAUGUAAAGAGUCUAUUAUUGUACUUCAAUUGUUUCAAACUUGACAGAACCAUCUUAUUUCACAAUUUUACAUUUGCAAUAUUCACUCCAUACAUACACAAACCAAGAAGCCUCAUAAUUGCAAUCUAUAAUUUAUGAUUCCUUUACAAUAUAUUAGUAAUCUAGCUGUUCCUCAUGACCUAAGGAAACAAGCAGUUGCAUGUUGAAACAUACUGAACUAGUCAUUUAUUUAUUAGAUCAUCCCAAUGCCCAGCUACAACCCCUAAAUAGGAUUGAUGAUAACACAGAACAGUGUACGACCUAAUACCAGCCUUCCCAGUUUCAGGACCAAUGUCAAAUCCUCCUAAAUAUCAUGAAAAUCUCUACAAAACUAAGCAGCUUAUCAAAUGGUCUAGCAGAAUCUGUUCCUCUCGUAAAUUUUGAAUUGUGAUAGUCUAUUAAAGGGCCUAAAAACCAGAAUGAUCGAUCCAAAGAGGAAUAAGACACGAUAAUACUACGAUAUUUGAACUGAAAAUCAAUUCAGAUAAGAACAAAAGAGAAGCAGAAACAAA
Molecule: unclassified non-coding RNA, 2065 nt
Filed under: Hevea brasiliensis (rubber tree)
Lineage: Eukaryota; Viridiplantae; Streptophyta; Magnoliopsida; Malpighiales; Euphorbiaceae
Source: RNAcentral